ACCAACAGUAAAAGAACACUUGAAACAGCAUACUGCCGAGGUACAAAGUCAACGAGAGAAAUCCGACGCUGAGAAGCUUUUUCUGCAAGGAAAAUUUACUUCAAUAUUUAAAUGACACCGCAUAAAUUAGAUAGAGAUCCUCGGGAUUUCAGUUUACGCGACCUUGGACAUUUGGAAAAUACUGGUGCACAGAGUGACCAUGCUGAAAAUGAAUAAAAUCGUCACGGUCCACACAAACAACGACUGUAUCCUGCGCACGAUCUCGUACGUGAAGGGUGAAGCCGUAGACGAGGGAGUCGAACGAGACGUUCAGUAAUACCCCGUAAAAUAUUGCGCCUACAUGAUUAAGAUAGGUCAACAAAUACGGAUAUAAGCCGGAUAUCGAGUACGGCAGAAACAAGAUGUGAAUAGAAAAGUAUCGUAUCGUACUUGUAGCAGAAACUUAAGAAACGAACGAAAAGAUUGUUAUCCUUUUUUUCGCUCCACGCACCGCAGAACCAGAGAACCCGGAAAUUCAAUGGCAAUAUAUCCAUAAUUCCGGAACGGCCGCUCCGGUGAAUGGUCUCCCUCUUGUCAUGCCUCGCUAUGCUUUGAAAAUAUGAAGCUUGGAAAAAAUUAAUGCUAGGAAAAAAAAUGUAUAACGAGACUUUCCAUACAUUGUCAACGUCCGUUCUCAUGAAUUAGUAAUCGCUGGAACGUUCUAAGCGUUCUUUAACAUUUAAUGCCGUCGGACAAUGGGAGAGAAUUCGCUGAUUUUUCUUUCUCCGCUACAUUUUCUCUUCGACUCUGUAUUCUUUUUCAUGUGUUUACCAGACAUUCGCGAUGACAUAACCAGUCAUUAUUUCUUAAAUUAUGAACUUAUGUAAUGCAUAUAGUAUCGAAUGUACGAAGGAUACCGAGAGUGAAGGAUAUUAAAGUAUUACUACUAUUGA
Molecule: long non-coding RNA, 932 nt
Organism: Wasmannia auropunctata (little fire ant)
Lineage: Eukaryota; Metazoa; Arthropoda; Insecta; Hymenoptera; Formicidae
Exons: 4
Source: RefSeq, a predicted model, not a curated record